RNAcentral lists this long non-coding RNA (2582 nucleotides) under Fragaria vesca (wild strawberry). RNAcentral describes it as "long non-coding RNA (FVES_LNC003201)". Lineage: Eukaryota; Viridiplantae; Streptophyta; Magnoliopsida; Rosales; Rosaceae. The record is from RNAcentral.
CCGCCGUGAAGGAGAGAACUCGCCCGGAAGCUCCGGCUGCGUGGUGGAGUCCCGACGCCGGAACUCGCUCUUCCGGCCACCAUUUCUGAUGAUUUCAGUUCCAUUUGGAAGUGCUCUCCGUGUGUAGCAUUUCCCUAGAAGGUAAUGAUCAAUUCGAAGUGUGUAGGAGGAUUUUCGGGCUAGGGUUUGAAUUGGGUGAUUUUUGGAUGUUUUGAUUCGAUUACCCUAUUUAGGCUUGAAAUUGGACUUAGUGAUAGUUAUGAAAGUUGUUUGGGAUGUUGAGAUGAAACUGCUGUUAAAAUUUGGUAGGCAUUAGAGGUCGCCGGAAUAGGCCUCUUUUGAAAAUUUUAGUUGACCGCCAAAAAAUUUUGGUUGAAAAUUUUGAAAAUUUUUCGACUUUAGCCGACGACUUUUCAUAUAUUUUCGUCGGCUAAAGUCCUUUGAAAAUUUUCCUCCAACUUUGGUUUACCGCCUAAAAAAUUUUGAAAUUUUUUGACCUUAGCCGAUGACUUUUCAUAUAUUUUCGUCGGCUAAAGUCUAUAAAUUCACGAAAACGCUCAUAUCUCCCCCUAUAUUACGUAAUUUGGUCAAACCUUCCACACCAAAAACUCUCACGUAGAUGAGACGCAACUGCCCAUAUAAAAAUUUUGAGACAUUUACCUUCCGACGAUAGGGCUCCCCAUAAGGAAUAAUAACGGUAAAUAGGGUUGACCGCUACUAUCGGCUCCGAGACUUUACCCGAUUUACGUGAUUUUUGAACCAUAGACGUAUUUCACCAUUUUGAACACAUCUUAUUUCACCAGAUUUUUCAUAAUUUUGCUUCCUAUGUAGAGUUGGUUCACAAAGUUGUAUAACCUACUAAACAAGUUAUACAACAUUAGUAGACACGUUGUGAUUCCGAUGACUAAAAUUCACAAACCAAAAUUCGACCGUCAGAUAUGAUCAUUAUGACGAAAUAUGUCUAUGGUAAAAAAUUCAACUGGAUCCGACAACGUUAAGGGCUCAAUCGAAACGGUAAACCAUAAUCCAUCGUCACUUAUCACACGAAAACGCUCAUAUCUCCCUCUAUAUUACGUAGUUUGGUCAAACCUUCCACACAAAAAACCUCUCACGUAGAUGAGACGAAACUGCCCAUAAUAAAAAUUUUGAGACAUUUACCUUCCGACGAUAGGGCUCCCCAUAAACCCGAAUAACGGUAAAUAGUAGACACGUUGUGAUUCCGAUGACUAAAAUUCACAAACCAAAAUUCGACCGUCAGAUAUGAUCAUUAUGACGAAAGAUGUCUAUGGUAAAAAAUUCAACUGGAUUCGACAACGUUAAGGGCUCGAUCGAAACUGUCAACUCUAAUCGAAAAUAAGAAAACUGCAUUUUCAAGCCCUAAACGGACUCGGAUGGCCAAAAAAGCCUAUACAUCAUGGCAUUAGCGAUGAGUCUGACUCGUAGCGCCGUUACGCUUCCGGAAAGGUAUCACAAUAGUCAAUCAGACACCAAACACCAAAUCUGCAGCAUAGUGAAUAGUAAGGGUAAGUCAACUAUCGGCACCGAGACUUUACCGGAAUACUGUGUAUUUUUCAACCGUAGUCGUAUUUCACCGUUCUGGUCAUAUCUUAUUUCACGACUUUUUUGCGUUUGAAGGUUCUACGUAUAGUUUUUUUUUCUCAGAUGAGUUGUUGUCUAGAUCUGCAAAUAUAAGGCACUUUAGCCGACGAAAUUAUAUUUUUUCGUCGGCUAAAGUUUAAAAAUUUCGUCGGCUAAAGUUUAAAAAUUUCGUCGGCUAAAGUCCACUUUAGCCGACUAAUUUUUUUCGUCGGUUAAACUUUUAAAAAUUUCGUCGGCUAAAGUUCACAGACUAUAGCCGACGAAAAAAAUCAUUCAGCCGAUGAAAUAUUACUUUCGUCGGCUAAAGUUGACCAUAGCCGACGAAAAUAAAAUUCGUNNNNNNNNNNNNNNNNNNNNGCUCAUAUCUCCCUCUAUAUUACGUAGUUUGGUCAAACCUUCCACACAAAAAACUCUCACGUAGAUGAGACGAAACUGCCCAUAUAAAAAUUUUGAGACAUUUACCUUCCGACGAUAGGGCUCCCCAUAAACCCGAAUAACGGUAAAUAGUAGACACGUUGUGAUUCCGAUGACUAAAAUUCACAAACCAAAAUUCGACCGUCAGAUAUGAUCAUUAUGACGAAAGAUGUCUAUGGUAAAAAAUUCAACUGGAUUCGACAACGUUAAGGGCUCGAUCGAAACGGUCAACUCUAAUCGAAAAUAAGAAAACUGCAUUUUCAAGCCCUAAACGGACUCGGAUGGCCAAAAAAGCCUAUACAUCAUGGCGUUAGCGAUGAGUCUAACUCGUAGCGCCGUUACGCCAAAUCUGCAGCAUAGUGAAUAGUAAGGGUAAGUCAACUAUCGGCACCGAGACUUUACCGGAAUACUGUGAUUUUUCAACCGUAGUCGUAUUUCACCGUUCUGGUCAUAUCUUAUUUCACGACUUUUUUGCGUUUGAAGGUUCUACGUAUAGUUUUUUUUUCUCAGAUGAGUUGUUGUCUAGAUCUGCAAAUAUAAGGCACUUUAGCCGACGAAAUUAUAUUUUU